GACGAACGCUGGCGGCGUGCUUAACACAUGCAAGUCGAACGGAAAGGCCCUUCUUUCAGGGUACUCUAGUUUCGAACGGGUGUGUAACACGUUUGUGUUCUGCCCUGCACUUCUUGUUAAGCCUUGGAAACUGGGUCUAUUACCUGAUAUGUGCCAUUUUUAUUGUGUUUGUUGGAAAGUUUUUUCGGUGUUGGAUGAGCUCGCGGCCUAUCUGCUUGUUGGUGGGGUAAUGGCCUACCAAGGCGGCGACGGGUAGCCGGACAGAGAGGGUGGACGGCCAAAUUGGGACUGAGAGACGGCACAGAGAGAUAAGGGAGGGAGAAGUGGGGAAGAAUGCAAAAUGGGGGCAAGGGUGAUGAAGAGAGGCAGGGGGGGGGAUGACGGGCUUGGGGUUGUAAAAAACAUUCGCAAGGGAAGAAGCAUUUUGUGACGGUAACUAGAUAAGAAGCACCGGCUAACUACGUG
RNAcentral lists this ribosomal RNA (465 nucleotides) under uncultured bacterium. RNAcentral's name for it is "partial 16S ribosomal RNA". It matches the Rfam family "Bacterial small subunit ribosomal RNA", at positions 28 to 507 of the family's 1533-position model. The record is from RNAcentral.